RNAcentral lists this ribosomal RNA (498 nucleotides) under uncultured bacterium. Its description in RNAcentral is "partial 16S ribosomal RNA". It matches the Rfam family "Bacterial small subunit ribosomal RNA", at positions 30 to 523 of the family's 1533-position model. The record is from RNAcentral.
AUUGAACGCUGGCGGAAUGUUUUACACAUGCAAGUCGAACGGCAGCACGGGGCAACCUGGUGGCGAGUGGCGAACGGGUGAGUAAUACAUCGGAACGUGCCCAGUCGUGGGGGAUAACGUAGCGAAAGUUACGCUAAUACCGCAUACGAUCUAAGGAUGAAAGCGGGGGAUCGCAAGACCUCGCGCGAUUGGAGCGGCCGAUGUCAGAUUAGGUAGUUGGUGGGGUAAAGGCCCACCAAGCCGACGAUCUGUAGCUGGUCUGAGAGGACGACCAGCCACACUGGGACUGUGACACGGCCCAGACUCCUACGGGAGGCAGCAGUGGGGAAUUUUGGACAAUGGGCGCAAGCCUGAUCCAGCCAUUCCGCGUGCAGGAUGAAGGCCUUCGGGUUGUAAACUGCUUUUGUACGGAGCGAAAAGGCUCUCUCUAAUACAGGGGGCUCAUGACGGUACCGUAAGAAUAAGCACCGGCUAACUACGUGCCAGCCGCCGCGGUAA